AUGGGAGCGGCGGUGAAGCGCGCGAGGGAGGAGGAGCCGGUGUCGCUGGCGCUGGCGCUCACCACGGACUCGGCGGCGUCGUCCACCACGUCGGCCGACUCGGCCGGGGCGGCGCCGGCCAGGAAGAGGGCGCGGCGGGGCAGAGUGGUGGCCACGUCGGGGGAGGGGGAGUUCGUCUGCAAGACCUGCAGCCGCGCCUUCGCCACGUUCCAGGCGCUGGGCGGGCACCGGACCAGCCACCUGCGCGGCCGCCACGGGCUGGAGCUCGGCGUCGGCGUCGCCAGGGCCAUCAAGGAGCGGAAGAAGCAAGAGGAGAAGCAGCACGAGUGCCACAUCUGCGGCCUCGGCUUCGAGAUGGGCCAGGCGCUGGGCGGACACAUGCGCCGGCACCGGGAGGAGAUGGCGCUGCGCGGCGGCGACGACGGCGAUCAGUGGGUGUGGCGCGGCGUCGGGCUGCCGGAUCAGGAGGCGGUGGCGCACCAGGCCGCCGCCAAUUACGAGCCGCCCGUCUUGCUCGAGCUGUUCGUCUAG
This 531-nucleotide ribosomal RNA is filed under the name Triticum aestivum (bread wheat). RNAcentral describes it as "partial small subunit ribosomal RNA". The record is from RNAcentral. Lineage: Eukaryota; Viridiplantae; Streptophyta; Magnoliopsida; Poales; Poaceae.